This 207-nucleotide ribosomal RNA is filed under the name uncultured bacterium. Its description in RNAcentral is "partial 16S ribosomal RNA". It matches the Rfam family "Bacterial small subunit ribosomal RNA", at positions 568 to 774 of the family's 1533-position model. The record is from RNAcentral.
UGCGUAGGCGGUUUGGUAAGUCAGAUGUGAAAUUCCUGGGCUCAACCGGGGAACUGCAUUUGAUACUGCCAGACUAGAGUACUGGAGAGGAGACUGGAAUUUACGGUGUAGCAGUGAAAUGCGUAGAUAUCGUAAGGAAGGCCAGUGGCGAAGGCGAGUCUCUGGACAGUAACUGACGCUGAGGCACGAAGGCUAGGGGAGCAAACG